RNAcentral lists this ribosomal RNA (490 nucleotides) under uncultured bacterium. RNAcentral's name for it is "partial 16S ribosomal RNA". It matches the Rfam family "Bacterial small subunit ribosomal RNA", at positions 30 to 507 of the family's 1533-position model. The record is from RNAcentral.
AUUGAACGCUGGCGGCAUGCCUAACACAUGCAAGUCGAACGGUAACAGGCAGUAGCUUGCUUCUUUGCUGACGAGGGGCGGGCGGUUGAGUGAUAUCUGGGCAACUGCCUGAUGGAGGGGGAUAACUACUGUAAUCGGUAGCCAAUACCGCUUAACGUCGCAAGACCAAAGAGGGGGACCUUCGGGCCUCUUGCCAUCGGAUGUGCGCAGAUGGGAUUAGCUAGUAGGUGGGGUAACGGCUCACCUAGGCGACGAUCCCUAGCUGGUCUGAGAGGAUGACCAGCCACACUGGAACUGAGACACGGUCCAGACUCCUACGGGAGGCAGCAGUGGGGAAUAUUGCACAAUGGGCGCAAGCCUGAUGCAGCCAUGCCGCGUGUAUGAAGAAGGCCUUCGGGUUGUAAAGUGCUUUCAGCGGGGAGGAAGGGAGUACAGUUAAUACCUUUGCUCAUUGACGUUACCCGAAGAAGAAGCACCGGCUAACUCCGUG